GCCCCGAGGCUUGGGCGCCCCUUUUAGAGGCUCAAGCCCUACAUGAUAAUUGUCCACUGCCCGGGCACCCUAAGUGGGGCGCAUGAGCGUCGUAUGUCGUGGAUCAAGCCCAGAUUCUACUCUAUUUUGACUCUAUUGGAUCAGACCCUAUUUCUACUAUGUUCUGACUCUGUUUCAAGGAUCUAGGCACUCUAGGUUUGGUAUCUUUGGUAGAGAAGAGUGCAGCAACACACUCUUUCACCCUCGGAAAACGGAUUUGGAUGCGGGAG
This 269-nucleotide long non-coding RNA is filed under the name Vigna radiata. Its description in RNAcentral is "long non-coding RNA (VRAD_LNC003830)". Lineage: Eukaryota; Viridiplantae; Streptophyta; Magnoliopsida; Fabales; Fabaceae. The record is from RNAcentral.